This 497-nucleotide long non-coding RNA is filed under the name Homo sapiens (human). Its description in RNAcentral is "HSALNT0017455". The record is from RNAcentral. Lineage: Eukaryota; Metazoa; Chordata; Mammalia; Primates; Hominidae.
GAACAAAGGAGGGAAGGAGCUUUUAACUCUAACGCAGUUCCUGUUUCUGUGUCCUUCCCCUGUUGGCUGGGGUUGGAUGCACAAUCUAAGCUGAUCCUGACUGGCUGGGACUUAAACCUUCUCAAAUAAGGAUGGACACAGUAACGACAGAGACAGGAGGCAGCCAACAGUCUCCCAGUGAAACCCCUCCUUCAAGCCUAAAACAGUCUGAAGGCUGAAAAACCAGAGUGCUAGUCUGGAUGAAGUCUGCCCUUUCCCAACCGAUUCUUUCUGAAUAAUGGCCACCUGCGCACUGGGAGGACUGGGUGGAGCCUUGGGAAGUUCACGCUAUUUGCAGUGGCGAGGAUCCUGGCAUCUCCUGUUCCUGUGUGGUGACCUGGGAUUCAAUCUUUGAGGAGGAAAACCUGCUAGCCGGCCUCUCUUUCGGUUUGCUGGAGUUCCUGUUUCCCUUUUUUUUUUCCUUUUCACCCGAUAAACCCUGCCCUACUAACCUUACA